UGACGCGUAGCACAAUGGCAGUGCAGCGGGUUGUUACCCCGCAGGUUGCUGGUUCGAAUCCAGCCGUGUCAG
Molecule: transfer RNA, 72 nt
Filed under: Streptomyces spectabilis
Lineage: Bacteria; Bacillati; Actinomycetota; Actinomycetes; Kitasatosporales; Streptomycetaceae
Description: tRNA-Asn
Rfam family: tRNA
About the family: Transfer RNA (tRNA) molecules are approximately 80 nucleotides in length. Their secondary structure includes four short double-helical elements and three loops (D, anti-codon, and T loops).
Source: RNAcentral